Molecule: ribosomal RNA, 253 nt
Filed under: uncultured bacterium
Lineage: Bacteria
Description: partial 16S ribosomal RNA
Rfam family: Bacterial small subunit ribosomal RNA
Source: RNAcentral
UACGUAGGGUGCAAGCGUUAAUCGGAAUUACUGGGCGUAAAGCGCGCGUAGGCGGCUUUGCAAGUCGGGUGUGAAAUCCCCAGGCUUAACCUGGGAACUGCAUUCGAGACUGCAUUGCUAGAGUAUGGGAGAGGGAAGUGGAAUUUCCGGUGUAGCGGUGAAAUGCGUAGAUAUCGGAAGGAACAUCAGUGGCGAAAGCGACUUCCUGGACGGUCACUGACGCUGAGGCACGAAAGCGUGGGUAGCAAACAGG